This 254-nucleotide ribosomal RNA is filed under the name uncultured bacterium. RNAcentral describes it as "partial 16S ribosomal RNA". It matches the Rfam family "Bacterial small subunit ribosomal RNA", at positions 524 to 776 of the family's 1533-position model. The record is from RNAcentral.
GACGUAGGGCGCGAGCGUUGUCCGGAUUUAUUGGGCGUAAAGAGCUCGUAGGCGGUGUGUCGCGUCGGCCGUGAAAACCUGCAGCUUAACUGUGGGCUUGCGGUCGAUACGGGCAUCACUGGAGUUCGGCAAGGGAGACUGGAAUUCCUGGUGUAGCGGUGAAAUGCGCAGAUAUCAGGAGGAACACCGGUGGCGAAGGCGGGUCUCUGGGCCGAUACUGACGCUGAGGAGCGAAAGCGUGGGGAGCGAACAGG